Molecule: small nuclear RNA, 107 nt
Organism: Cricetulus griseus (Chinese hamster)
Lineage: Eukaryota; Metazoa; Chordata; Mammalia; Rodentia; Cricetidae
Source: Ensembl
GUGCUCGCUUCAGCAGCACAUAUACUAAAAUUGGAACCAUACAGAGAAGAUUAGCAUGGCCCCUGCGCAAGGAUGACAUGCAAAGUCGUGAAGCAUUCCAUAUUUAA